CACACUGCCGAGAAAAGCCUCUAGAUAGAAAAUAGGUGCCCGUACCGCAAACCGACACAGGUAGUCAAGAUGAGAAUUCUAAGGUGAGCGAGCGAACUCUCGUUAAGGAACUCGGCAAAAUGACCCCGUAACUUCGGGAGAAGGGGUGCUCUUUAGGGUUAACGCCCAGAAGAGCCGCAGUGAAUAGGCCCAAGCGACUGUUUAUCAAAAACACAGGUCUCUGCUAAACCGUAAGGUGAUGUAUAGGGGCUGACGCCUGCCCGGUGCUGGAAGGUUAAGAGGAGUGGUUAGCUUCUGCGAAGCUACGAAUCGAAGCCCCAGUAAACGGCGGCCGUAACUAUAACGGUCCUAAGGUAGCGAAAUUCCUUGUCGGGUAAGUUCCGACCCGCACGAAAGGCGUAACGAUUUGGGCACUGUCUCAACGAGAGACUCGGUGAAAUCAUAGUACCUGUGAAGAUGCAGGUUACCCGCGACAGGACGGAAAGACCCCGUGGAGCUUUACUGUAGCCUGAUAUUGAAAUUCGGCACAGCUUGUACAGGAUAGGU
This 546-nucleotide ribosomal RNA is filed under the name Staphylococcus aureus. Its description in RNAcentral is "partial 23S ribosomal RNA". It matches the Rfam family "Bacterial large subunit ribosomal RNA", at positions 1601 to 2148 of the family's 2925-position model. The record is from RNAcentral. Lineage: Bacteria; Bacillati; Bacillota; Bacilli; Caryophanales; Staphylococcaceae.